UACGGCAAGAUCACGUUGAAACAUCGGUUCCAGUUCGAUGACGGAAGUUAAGCAACAUCGAGCUUGGUCAGUAGCUAGAUGGGUGACCGCUUGAGAAUACCAAGUGCUG
Acanthosepion pharaonis is the source of this 109-nucleotide non-coding RNA. NCBI's taxonomy places the organism in Eukaryota, Metazoa, Mollusca, Cephalopoda, Sepiida, Sepiidae. The record is from the annotation of a GenBank genome assembly.